AGCUCAAAUUUGAAAUCUGGCGUGCUCAGUGCGUCCGAGUUGUAAUCUAUAGAGACGUUUUCCGUGCCGGACCGUGUCCAAGUUCCUUGGAACAGGAUAUCAAAGAGGGUGACAAUCCCGUACUUGACACGACCCCCGGUGCUCUGUGAUACGUCCUCUACGAGUCGAGUUGUUUGGGAAUGCAGCUCAAAAUGGGUGGUGAGUUCCAUCUAAAGCUAAAUAUUGGCGAGAGACCGAUAGCGAACAAGUACCGUGAGGGAAAGAUGAAAAGCACUUUGGAAAGAGAGUUAAACAGUACGUGAAAUUGUUAAAAGGGAAACGAUUGAAGUCAGUCGUGUCCGGGAGGCUCAGCCGAUCUUCGGUGUAUUCCUCUCGGACGGGUCAACAUCAGUUUUGUCCGGCGGAUAAGGGUGGCGGGAAUGUAGCACCUUCUUGGUGUGUUAUAGCCCGUCAUCGCAUACGUUGGGUGAGACUGAGGAAUGCAGCUCGCCUUCAUUGGCCGGGGUUCGCCCACGUUCGAGCUUAGGAUGUUGACGUAAUGGCUUUAAACGACCCGUCUUGAAACACGGACCAAGGAGUCUAACAUAUCUGCGAGUGUUUGGGUGCCAAACCCGAGCGCGUAAUGAAAGUGAACGUAGGAGGGAUCCGCAAGGAGCACCUUCGACCGAUCUGGAUCUUCUGUGAUGGAUUUGAGUAAGAGCAUAUAUGCUGGGACCCGAAAGAUGGUGAACUAUGCCUGAAUAGGGUGAAGCCAGGGGAAACUCUGGUGGAGGCUCGUAGCGAUUCUGACGUGCAAAUCGAUCGUCAAAUUUGGGUAUAGGGGCGAAAGA
Molecule: ribosomal RNA, 830 nt
Filed under: Pseudotremella moriformis
Lineage: Eukaryota; Fungi; Basidiomycota; Tremellomycetes; Tremellales; Bulleraceae
Description: partial large subunit ribosomal RNA
Rfam family: Eukaryotic large subunit ribosomal RNA
Source: RNAcentral